This 853-nucleotide ribosomal RNA is filed under the name Ambrosiella xylebori. Its description in RNAcentral is "LSU rRNA". It matches the Rfam family "Eukaryotic large subunit ribosomal RNA", at positions 33 to 917 of the family's 3401-position model. Lineage: Eukaryota; Fungi; Ascomycota; Sordariomycetes; Microascales; Ceratocystidaceae. The record is from RNAcentral.
CUUAAGCAUAUCAAUAAGCGGAGGAAAGAAACCACAGGGAUUGCCCUAGUAACGGCGAGUGAAGCGGCAACAGCUCAAAUUUGAAAUCUGGCUACUUUGUAGUCCGAGUUGUAAUUUGUAGAGGAUGCUUUUGGUGAGGUGCUUUCUGAGUUCCCUGGAACGGGACGCCAGAGAGGGUGAGAGCCCCGUACAGUUAGCAACCGAUCCUUUGUAUAGCUCCUUCGACGAGUCGAGUAGUUUGGGAAUGCUGCUCUAAAUGGGAGGUAUAUCUCUUCUAAAGCUAAAUAUAGGCUAGAGACCGAUAGCGCACAAGUAGAGUGAUCGAAAGAUGAAAAGCACUUUGAAAAGAGAGUUAAACAGCACGUGAAAUUGUUGAAAGGGAAGCGCCUAUGACCAGACUUGUUUCUAUCAGUUUUGGUAGUUUUCGGACUGCUUUACUCUGUUAGUACAGGCCAACAUCAGUUUGUUGUCGGGGAGAAAGGCUUAGGGAAUGUGGCUCCCUCGGGAGUGUUAUAGAUCUUUGCAUAAUACCCUUCGGCAGACUGAGGACCGCGCUUCGGCAAGGAUGUUGGCGUAAUGGUUAUCAGCGACCCGUCUUGAAACACGGACCAAGGAGUCAACCUUAUAUGCGAGUGUUUGGGUGUAAAACCCCAGCGCGUAAUGAAAGUGAACGUAGGUGAGAGCUUCGGCGCAUCAUCGACCGAUUCUGAUGUUCUCGGAUGGAUUUGAGUAAGAGCAUAUAGGGUUGGACCCGAAAGAAGGUGAACUAUGCUUGUAUAGGGUGAAGCCAGAGGAAACUCUGGUGGAGGCUCGCAGCGGUUCUGACGUGCAAAUCGAUCGUCAAAUAUGAGCA